GUCCCCGGCCCCCUUCCUUCCUGUCAGGGUCCUGGGUCUGAGCGACCCAGGGACCCUGAGCAGUUUUGGACUAAUAUUAUAAUAUAUGUAUUUUGUAUUGCUGUCCCUCGUUCUCCCUGCAUAUGUGUGUGUGGGUGUGGCCCUGGCAGGUGAUUGGCCACACCUGAAGACCAUGUCACACCUGCAGCUGAUCAGGCCUCGUCGGAGGAGCUACUUGAGAGUGUGGUGGAGCUCUCUCCGACGCUGGAUCAUUGCGUGGCUUCACGAGUAGCGAGAGACGAGAGGGCAGCGAGCACGGGGUGCUCAUCACGGAGAAGCGGAGACAGGAGCACUAACACUGGGAAGAGGACACGUCACGGGAGUCGGGAGAGCACGGGAUUUAUUGUCAUGUUUUUCCAUCACUGUAAAUAAACGCACUGCUUGUACUAAGA
Molecule: long non-coding RNA, 431 nt
Organism: Oreochromis niloticus (Nile tilapia)
Lineage: Eukaryota; Metazoa; Chordata; Actinopteri; Cichliformes; Cichlidae
Exons: 2
Source: RefSeq, a predicted model, not a curated record